RNAcentral lists this ribosomal RNA (491 nucleotides) under uncultured bacterium. RNAcentral's name for it is "partial 16S ribosomal RNA". It matches the Rfam family "Bacterial small subunit ribosomal RNA", at positions 29 to 506 of the family's 1533-position model. The record is from RNAcentral.
AGUGAACGCUGGCGGUAGGCCUAACACAUGCCAGUCGAACGGCAGCACAGUAAGAGCUUGCUCUUACGGGUGGCGAGUGGCGGACGGGUGAGGAAUACAUCGGAAUCUACUUUUUCGUGGGGGAUAACGUAGGGAAACUUACGCUAAUACCGCAUACGACCUACGGGGGAAAGCAGGGGAUCUUUUGACCUUGCGCGAUUGAAUGAGCCGAUGUCGGAUUAGCUAGUUGGCGGGGUAAAGGCCCACCAAGGCGACGAUCCGUAGCUGGUCUGAGAGGAUGGUCAGCCACACUGGAACUGAGACACGGUCCAGACUCCUACGGGAGGCAGCAGUGGGGAAUAUUGGAAAAUGGGCGCAAGCCUGAUCCAGCCAUACCGCGUGGGUGAAGAAGGCCUUCGGGUUGUAAAGCCCUUUUGUUGGGAAAGAAAAGCAGCAGGUUAAUACCCCGCUGUUCUGACGGUACCCAAAGAAUAAGCACCGGCUAACUUCGU